UACGUAGGGUGCAAGCGUUUGUCCGGAAUUAUUGGGCGUAAAGAGCUCGUAGGCGGUUCGUCACGUCGGCUGUGAAAUCCCGAGGCUCAACCUCGGGUCUGCAGUCGAUACGGGCGGACUUGAGUACUGCAGGGGAGACUGGAAUUCCUGGUGUAGCGGUGAAAUGCGCAGAUAUCAGGAGGAACACCGGUGGCGAAGGCGGGUCUCUGGGCCGUAACUGACGCUGAGGAGCGAAAGCGUGGGGAGCGAACAGG
This 254-nucleotide ribosomal RNA is filed under the name uncultured bacterium. RNAcentral describes it as "partial 16S ribosomal RNA". It matches the Rfam family "Bacterial small subunit ribosomal RNA", at positions 524 to 776 of the family's 1533-position model. The record is from RNAcentral.